UGGGGAAUUUUGGACAAUGGGCGAAAGCCUGAUCCAGCAAUGCCGCGUGUGUGAAGAAGGCCUUCGGGUUGUAAAGCACUUUUGUCCGGAAAGAAAUGGCUCUGGUUAAUACCUGGGGUCGAUGACGGUACCGGAAGAAUAAGGACCGGCUAACUACGUGCCAGCAGCCGCGGUAAUACGUAGGGUCCAAGCGUUAAUCGGAAUUACUGGGCGUAAAGCGUGCGCAGGCGGUUGUGCAAGACCGAUGUGAAAUCCCCGAGCUUAACUUGGGAAUUGCAUUGGUGACUGCACGGCUAGAGUGUGUCAGAGGGGGGUAGAAUUCCACGUGUAGCAGUGAAAUGCGUAGAGAUGUGGAGGAAUACCGAUGGCGAAGGCAGCCCCCUGGGAUAACACUGACGCUCAUGCACGAAAGCGUGGGGAGCAAACAGGAUUAGAUACCCUGGUAGUCCACGCCCUAAACGAUGUCAACUAGUUGUUGGGGAUUCAUUUCCUUAGUAACGUAGCUAACGCGUGAAGUUGACCGCCUGGGGAGUACGGUCGCAAGAUUAAAAGCUCAAAGGAAUUGACGGGGUCAUAGCUGUUUUCCU
Molecule: ribosomal RNA, 587 nt
Filed under: uncultured bacterium
Lineage: Bacteria
Description: partial 16S ribosomal RNA
Rfam family: Bacterial small subunit ribosomal RNA
Source: RNAcentral